GAGAAUGACACAUCUUAGACUCCCUGGUACCCUAGGCUUAAUGUUAGAUAGUCCUGAGGCUCAGUGACGCCGCUGUGAGAACUGCCAUGUGGACACAAGGGAUGCCCCUCCUACUCUCCGCUGCUCACAGGGACUCGGAUCCAGACAUUUGCUACUCUCUGCGGAUCCUGCCAUGGACUCCAGGCUCUUCUGCUAUGUGGCCCUUUGUCUCCUGGGGACAGACCACACCAAAGCUGGAGUCUCCCAGUCUCCCACUCACAGGAUCACCAAAAAGGGACAGAAUGUAUCUUUCAGGUGCGAUCCAAUUUCAGGUCACACCCGCCUUUACUGGUAUCGGCAGAGCUUGGGACAAGGCCCAGAGUUUCUGAUUUAUUUCCAGAAUGAAGUUGCACCAGACAAAUCAGGGUUGCCUGGUGAUCACUUCUCUGUAGAGAGGCCUAACGGGUCCUACUCUGUUCUGAAGAUCCAGCCCGUGAAGCAGAAGGACUCAGCGGUGUACCUCUGUGCCAGCAGCUUAGCCACAGCAGAGCACCAUCACCUGCUUCCUGCUCACAAACCUCAGACGCUCAGCCCUCCUCACCGCUGUCCUCAGCGCUGAACAAUGGCUUGGCUGGCUCCUCCCUCAAAGGGAGCAAAUGCACCUGAGUUUCGGGUUCUUCCAGCAGUGGGAGGUCAGGAAAUGGCCUUGGGGUUGUGAGACAGAUGAUGCUGAGUCCUCCUAAAUUUGGAUUAUCACCUCCUAGUAUUCCUGAGAUAUUGUAGAUGAGUAACUGUGAGUCAACAGCAGAGCCUCAUCUCAAGGAUAGUGAUACAUAGAUGUUUUCUUGCUAAGCUACAAAAUUGCAUUGUUUUGACAAACAAUCCCACCCUCAGUGACACUGACUCAGAACUACACUAUGCUAAGUAGUGGCCC
Molecule: non-coding RNA, 913 nt
Organism: Peromyscus leucopus (white-footed mouse)
Lineage: Eukaryota; Metazoa; Chordata; Mammalia; Rodentia; Cricetidae
Source: the annotation of a RefSeq genome assembly